This 253-nucleotide ribosomal RNA is filed under the name uncultured bacterium. RNAcentral's name for it is "partial 16S ribosomal RNA". It matches the Rfam family "Bacterial small subunit ribosomal RNA", at positions 524 to 776 of the family's 1533-position model. The record is from RNAcentral.
UACAGAGGGGGCAAGCGUUGUUCGGAAUUACUGGGCGUAAAGGGCGCGUAGGCGGCCUGUUAAGUCGAACGUGAAAUCCCUGGGCUCAACCCAGGAACUGCGUCCGAUACUGGCAGGCUUGAAUCCGGGAGAGGGAUGUGGAAUUCCAGGUGUAGCGGUGGAAUGCGUAGAUAUCUGGAGGAACACCGGUGGCGAAGGCGGCAUCCUGGACCGGUAUUGACGCUGAGGCGCGAAAGCCAGGGGAGCAAACGGG